This is a non-coding RNA of Pelobates cultripes (western spadefoot toad), 1156 nucleotides long. The record is from the annotation of a GenBank genome assembly. Lineage: Eukaryota; Metazoa; Chordata; Amphibia; Anura; Pelobatidae.
UUUGUCAUAAAAUCAGCAGAUAAAGGAGGGGGAGUUGUUGUUUUAAAAAGAGACAACUACGUUCAAGAAGCAGAGAGAAUUCUUUUAGACACUAAAACCUAUUAAAAAAUACCUACGAACACAAGUGUGAAUAUACAAAAAAAGUUUGAAACAUACGUAGAAAAGGGUUUGAUUUAGGAAUUUUGAAAGAGGAGGAAAGGAAGUAUUUAUUAAUCCCACAUCCAAAAACACCUGUUUUCUACUAUCUGCCAAAAAUACACAAAAAUAGAAGCAAUCCCCCGGGAAGACCUAUUUGUGACGGACUGCUGGCACUCUGACCGACUACCUCAGCCAAUCGAUGCUCCUAGUGCUUGCUGAGGACUCCAAGCACUCCACCAGACACCAUAAGUACUGCAGACCCCACGAACCGCCGCAGCUUGGUUGGGGUCUCGCCGCCCUUCACCCACGGUCAGUAUCGAGCUUCCAGUGGGCAGGCCUCUUUUCCUCCAGAGAGUGUAGCAGGAACAAGCUCUUCUUAAAGAGCUUAGUAGUGAUUAUCCAAAGGAAUAUACAGAGCAUAACAAUCCCUUGUAGUGUUAUAGCAAUUCCCCCAAUAAGGGCCAAGACUCUAGAUUGAGGGUUAAGCAGGAACAGAAUUCACUGAGGCUUUAUUGCUUCUUUUAUACACAUUUUCCAAUAAGGUUAACACCCACGUGGACCUUGUUGGGCACUGAAAGCACAAACGUAACAACCAAUCAUAUACAGACACACAGUUAAACACUCCCAUUCAUUACAGCAAAAUACUCCCCUCUGCCUGUGAUAUAAUUACUGAACACAAUGGGCUAACGUAAUUAUCACAGGCAGGAAAAUAUACUGUUUUUACAUCAUUUCUAUAACUCUAACAUUAUACAUCUCAUUCGCAUAAAACUUACAUUUUCUGAAUCAGCACAAUUAGGGAACAAACAUCUCCAAAAAUCAUUUGAAUCCGUUCAGGAGUUAGCUGGAAGUCUCCUUUGACUGACCGCACGCACAUUUUCAUGCCCAAAACAGUUCCACAGAUUUGGCCUGUGCGGUCGGUCUAUAACAGGUGCCGUUCGUCCAAAUGGCAAUGUUAAUGUGGCGUUCGAAUAAUAUUACACUAUAUAUAUAUAUUAGUAAUUCUCUAUAUAAUGCCAAU